AAUUUGCUUACAAUGCGCGAGAUUGCACGAGAUGAAAAUGGAUGUACUACAAAGAGAUGCACAUCGACUAGAAUGUAUAAAUAAUUUAUUUAUACAGACACAAUCCGUCUAUAGAGAUACCACCGAUGGCGAUAGUGAAAGACGCUUACGAGCGGAAAGUGGAUACGUGGAUAAGGCACUAAAUUCGUUUGGAAUUCAGUGAGGUCGACAUUCAGGGCUCCAUCGAAUCGUAAACUGGCGGUGAUGGAUGAGACUAUUUGUCCAAUCAGCCGAUUCAGAUUCGUAUAGGGCACUUGCCUACUACUGUUGGCUCAAGAUCGAUCAAAACUGCUCGUGGGACAUGCUUUCCUGAACCCGUUUCUGAGAAGAACGCAUUAAAGGAAUCAUCUCCGGAGCCUAUAGUAACAUCUGCUGG
Molecule: long non-coding RNA, 415 nt
Organism: Monomorium pharaonis (pharaoh ant)
Lineage: Eukaryota; Metazoa; Arthropoda; Insecta; Hymenoptera; Formicidae
Exons: 3
Source: RefSeq, a predicted model, not a curated record